RNAcentral lists this ribosomal RNA (923 nucleotides) under Ganoderma resinaceum. RNAcentral's name for it is "partial large subunit ribosomal RNA". It matches the Rfam family "Eukaryotic large subunit ribosomal RNA", at positions 37 to 947 of the family's 3401-position model. Lineage: Eukaryota; Fungi; Basidiomycota; Agaricomycetes; Polyporales; Polyporaceae. The record is from RNAcentral.
AGCAUAUCAAUAAGCGGAGGAAAAGAAACUAACAAGGAUUCCCCUAGUAACUGCGAGUGAAGCGGGAAAAGCUCAAAUUUAAAAUCUGGCGGUCUUUGGCCGUCCGAGUUGUAGUCUGGAGAAGUGCUUUCCGCGCUGGACCGUGUAUAAGUCUCUUGGAACAGAGCGUCAUAGAGGGUGAGAAUCCCGUCUUUGACACGGACUACCAGUGCUUUGUGAUGCGCUCUCAAAGAGUCGAGUUGUUUGGGAAUGCAGCUCAAAAUGGGUGGUGAAUUCCAUCUAAAGCUAAAUAUUGGCGAGAGACCGAUAGCGAACAAGUACCGUGAGGGAAAGAUGAAAAGCACUUUGGAAAGAGAGUUAAACAGUACGUGAAAUUGCUGAAAGGGAAACGCUUGAAGUCAGUCGCGUUGUCCGGAACUCAGCCUUGCUUUCGCUUGGUGCACUUUCCGGAUGACGGGUCAGCAUCGAUUUUGACCGUCGGAAAAGGGCUGGAGUAAUGUGGCACCUCCGGGUGUGUUAUAGACUCUGGUCGCAUACGGCGGUUGGGAUCGAGGAACGCAGCGCGCCGCAAGGCAGGGGUUCGCCCACUUUCGCGCUUAGGAUGCUGGCAUAAUGGCUUUAAACGACCCGUCUUGAAACACGGACCAAGGAGUCUAACAUACCUGCGAGUGUUUGGGUGGAAAACCCGAGCGCGUAAUGAAAGUGAAAGUUGAGAUCCCUGUCGUGGGGAGCAUCGACGCCCGGACCUGACGUUCUCUGACGGAUCCGCGGUAGAGCAUGUAUGUUGGGACCCGAAAGAUGGUGAACUAUGCCUGAAUAGGGUGAAGCCAGAGGAAACUCUGGUGGAGGCUCGUAGCGAUUCUGACGUGCAAAUCGAUCGUCAAAUUUGGGUAUAGGGGCGAAAGACUAAUCGAACCAUCUAG